This 556-nucleotide long non-coding RNA is filed under the name Rattus norvegicus (Norway rat). Its description in RNAcentral is "long non-coding RNA NONRATT017876". The record is from RNAcentral. Lineage: Eukaryota; Metazoa; Chordata; Mammalia; Rodentia; Muridae.
CAUGUCUGGGAUCACUGAGCGGCUCUGUUCUCCCCCAUGCUGGCACUGUGCCCACAGCCCAAACAGAAUGGAGAAAGGGGAGUAUGCAGAGAGAAGAAAGAACCAGUUUUCUCUCUGGUACCCAAUCUCAGGUCUGGAAGAGGAAAGACAUCCACGGAAGUUGGUGACUUGGACUGGCUCGGCCAUGAGUGGAGCAUGUCCAUCCAGCAUGGCCACAGUCCAGUGGGACACACAGCUUAGAGCUGUGGAAUCUGUGCCACAGGACUCCUAACGCUGUGUAGAUGCCUACGUUUGUGAUUGCACGCUUUGGAGGGCGUCACUGUUGUGCUGCGCAGUAAGGUCUACCUGUGGCGUGCCUUAACUCUAUGUGGCUUGAGUAUCUGCCAGCGUUCUGCAUUGAAACAUUGUUGGUGAACCUUCACACUCUUCCUAUCCUUGAAUUUCCUUUUGAAUUUCAUGCCAUGUUACUUCUCAGUCCCUGCCUGUCAUCUGCUUAUGCAGCCCACUGCUUUGAAUGCAGAAAUGGUGUUUCUGUGGCAUUACACACAGGUCUUUG